AGUAAAAUGGCUGAAUAAAGGCGAUAAAUUGUAAAUUUAUUUAUGAUAUUUUUAUCUUUUACUA
Molecule: transfer RNA, 64 nt
Filed under: Stimulopalpus japonicus
Lineage: Eukaryota; Metazoa; Arthropoda; Insecta; Psocodea; Amphientomidae
Description: tRNA-Tyr
Rfam family: tRNA
About the family: Transfer RNA (tRNA) molecules are approximately 80 nucleotides in length. Their secondary structure includes four short double-helical elements and three loops (D, anti-codon, and T loops).
Source: RNAcentral